Molecule: unclassified non-coding RNA, 334 nt
Filed under: soil metagenome
Description: partial contains 5.8S ribosomal RNA, internal transcribed spacer 2, and large subunit ribosomal RNA
Rfam family: 5.8S ribosomal RNA (bases 1-120)
Source: RNAcentral
GAUGAAGAACGUAGCGAAAUGCGAUAAGUAGUGUGAAUUGCAGAAUUCAGUGAAUCAUCGAAUCUUUGAACGCACAUUGCGCCCUUUGGUAUUCCUUAGGGCAUGCCUGUUCGAGCGUCAUUUAAACCUUCAAGCUCAGCUUGGUGUUGGGUGACUGUCCGCUUCACCGCGGACUCGCCUCAAAAUUAUUGGCGGCCGGUACAUUGGCUCUCGAGCGCAGCAGAAACGCGUAACUCGAGGUCCUCGUGCCGGCUCCCAGAAGCUAUCUUCACAAUUUUGACCUCGGAUCAGGUAGGGAUACCCGCUGAACUUAAGCAUAUCAAUAAGCGGAGGA